This 348-nucleotide ribosomal RNA is filed under the name Triticum aestivum (bread wheat). RNAcentral describes it as "partial small subunit ribosomal RNA". The record is from RNAcentral. Lineage: Eukaryota; Viridiplantae; Streptophyta; Magnoliopsida; Poales; Poaceae.
AUGAAUAGUGCAGGCGCUAGCAAAGCUGUCACUCGCCGUAUGGAACACCAACGUGGGAAGGUGGAAGCAAAAAUAGAAGCUGCUCUUUCUUCCUCGCCCACUACGGAUCAAGCGUCUCGGUCAUUGGCUUGGCAGCGAUGCAACACAUCGUCUCACCAGCACAACUUCUCCCCAUUGGCACAGGUUCGGCGACGCCCCCCUUUCCAUGUCGGUAUUACCUCGGUCUCUGGUGCAGCGGAGCGUGUUCUGGUUCUUUUUUUCUGCUUGCAAAAAAUAAGCUUUCUAAGCACAAGACUCUUUAGCUUACUGAAAACUAUCUUACCCACAAAACUUCUUGCAGAUAUCUAA